UAAGGAAUAUUGCUCAAUGGGAGAAAUCCUGAAGCAGCAACGCCGCGUGGAGGAUGAAGGGUCUAUGACUUGUAAACUCCUGUAAAGAAGGAAAAAAUUCCCAUUUGAUGGGAGAUGAUGGUACUUCUGGAGUAAGCCCCGGCUAACUACGUGCCAGCAGCCGCGGUAAUACGUAGGGGGCAAGCGUUGUCCGGAUUUACUGGGUGUAAAGGGUGCUCAGGCGGAUUUGUAAGUCAGAGGUGAAAUCUUACAGCUUAACUGUGAAACUGCCUUUGAUACUGCAAGCCUAGAGUAUGGAAGAGNGUGAUGUAAUAUCUUGUGUAGCAGUGAAAUGCGUAGAUAUCAGAUAGAACACCAAUGGCGAAGGCAGUCACUUGGUCCAUUACUGACGCUAAAGCACGAAAGCGUGGGUAGCAAACA
Molecule: ribosomal RNA, 420 nt
Filed under: uncultured bacterium
Lineage: Bacteria
Description: bacterial SSU rRNA
Rfam family: Bacterial small subunit ribosomal RNA
Source: RNAcentral